AGACCCGAAACCCGGUGAUCUAGCCAUGGGCAGGUUGAAGGUUGGGUAACACUAACUGGAGGACCGAACCGACUAAUGUUGAAAAAUUAGCGGAUGACCUGUGGCUGGGGGUGAAAGGCCAAUCAAACCGGGAGAUAGCUGGUUCUCCCCGAAAGCUAUUUAGGUAGCGCCUCGUGAAUUCAUCUCCGGGGGUAGAGCACUGUUUCGGCUAGGGGGCCAUCCCGGCUUACCAACCCGAUGCAAACUGCGAAUACCGGAGAAUGUUAUCACGGGAGACACACGGCGGGUGCUAACGUCCGUCGUGAAGAGGGAAACAACCCAGACCGCCAGCUAAGGUCCCAAAGUCAUGGUUAAGUGGGAAACGAUGUGGGAAGGCCCAGACAGCCAGGAUGUUGGCUUAGAAGCAGCCAUCAUUUAAAGAAAGCGUAAUAGCUCACUGGUCGAGUCGGCCUGCGCGGAAGAUGUAACGGGGCUAAACCAUGCACCGAAGCUGCGGCAGCGAACGUAUCACCCAAGACAACUUUACGGAGUUGACGAUUGACGGAGCGAAGCGACGUCAAAGCGUUCAUUAAAGUCGAGUUGGCUUAGGGAUACGUUCGUUGGGUAGGGGAGCGUUCUGUAAGCCUGUGAAGGUGUGUCGUGAGGCAUGCUGGAGGUAUCAGAAGUGCGAAUGCUGACAUAAGUAACGAUAAAGCGGGUGAAAAGCCCGCUCGCCGGAAGACCAAGGGUUCCUGUCCAACGUUAAUCGGGGCAGGGUGAGUCGACCCCUAAGGCGAGGCCGAAAGGCGUAGUCGAUGGGAAACGGGUUAAUAUUCCCGUACUUGGUGUUACUGCGAAGGGGGGACGGAGAAGGCUAUGUUGGCCGGGCGACGGUUGUCCCGGUUUAAGCGUGUAGGUGUGUGUUCCAGGUAAAUCCGGUUCACUUUAACACUGAGGCGUGACGACGAGGCACUACGGUGCUGAAGCAACAAAUGCCCUGCUUCCAGGAAAAGCCUCUAAGCAUCAGGUAACACGAAAUCGUACCCCAAACCGACACAGGUGGUCAGGUAGAGAAUACCAAGGCGCUUGAGAGAACUCGGGUGAAGGAACUAGGCAAAAUGGUGCCGUAACUUCGGGAGAAGGCACGCUGACACGUAGGUGAAGUGAUUUACUCAUGGAGCUGAAGU
Molecule: ribosomal RNA, 1166 nt
Filed under: Salmonella enterica
Lineage: Bacteria; Pseudomonadati; Pseudomonadota; Gammaproteobacteria; Enterobacterales; Enterobacteriaceae
Also listed under: 2 other names
Description: partial 23S ribosomal RNA
Rfam family: Bacterial large subunit ribosomal RNA
Source: RNAcentral